RNAcentral lists this ribosomal RNA (460 nucleotides) under uncultured bacterium. RNAcentral describes it as "partial 16S ribosomal RNA". It matches the Rfam family "Bacterial small subunit ribosomal RNA", at positions 338 to 795 of the family's 1533-position model. The record is from RNAcentral.
CCUACGGGAGGCAGCAGUGAGGAAUAUUGGUCAAUGGGCGGAAGCCUGAACCAGCCAAGUCGCGUGAGGGAUUAAGGCCCUGCGGGUCGUAAACCUCUUUUGCCGGGGAGCAGAGGUCCGGACGUGUCCGGGCCGGGAGAGUACCCGGAGAAAAAGCAUCGGCGAACUCCGUGCCAGCAGCCGCGGUAAUACGGAGGAUGCGAGCGUUAUCCGGAUUUAUUGGGUAUAAGGGGUGCGUAGGCGGGCAGUUAAUCCGGGGGUCCAAUGUCGGGGCUCAACCCCGGCCGGCCGUCGGAACUGGGUGCCUUGAGUGGGCGAGAAGUAUGUGGAAUGCGUGGUGUAGCGGUGAAAUGCAUAGAUAUCACGCAGAACCCCGAUUGCGAAGGCAGCAUACCGGCGCCCUACUGACGCUGAGGCACGAAAGUGCGGGUAUCGAACAGGAUUAGAUACCCCAGUAGUC